GAUCCUGGCUCAGGAUGAACGCUGGCGGCGUGCCUAACACAUGCAAGUCGAACGAAGCACUUAUCUUUGAUUCUUCGGAUGAAGAGGUUUGUGACUGAGUGGCGGACGGGUGAGUAACGCGUGGGUAACCUGCCUCAUACAGGGGGAUAACAGUUAGAAAUGACUGCUAAUACCGCAUAAGACCACAGAGCUGCAUGGCUCGGUGGGAAAAACUCCGGUGGUAUGAGAUGACCCG
This 235-nucleotide ribosomal RNA is filed under the name uncultured bacterium. RNAcentral's name for it is "partial 16S ribosomal RNA". It matches the Rfam family "Bacterial small subunit ribosomal RNA", at positions 15 to 233 of the family's 1533-position model. The record is from RNAcentral.